AAAAAAAAAUACUCUGGUUUAUGCCAUAAUUUCAACCAAAUGCCCAGGCCGCUCAAUUGAAUGGGGCAAGACGAUCUCAUCGAGGUCUACACCAUCGUCGUCUAUACAUACUGCUAACAGCAAAUACAUAUUCCAUACAUAAAGGACAGAUGAAAUGAUUUAUGAGUUUUUGUUUGGGUCUUGCAGAUCAUGAUAAUUACCAUGAGUAUUGCCGUCUCCUUGGUCGCUUCCGAGUGAAUUACAAGGUACUAUUAUAAGGUCUUUGAUAUCAUGUUUCCCUUUUUUGGCUAUGCUAGUGCAAUACGUCUUGUUAUGGCUUAUGUGUGUAUAUGAUACUUCUGUGUGUAAACAUGCAAUGGCUGCACAUUUUACAUGCCUUUUGAAGCCACAUCC
Long non-coding RNA from Humulus lupulus (European hop), 393 nucleotides. RefSeq lists it as uncharacterized. The record is from RefSeq and is a predicted model, not a curated record. The transcript has 3 exons. Lineage: Eukaryota; Viridiplantae; Streptophyta; Magnoliopsida; Rosales; Cannabaceae.